RNAcentral lists this ribosomal RNA (253 nucleotides) under uncultured bacterium. Its description in RNAcentral is "partial 16S ribosomal RNA". It matches the Rfam family "Bacterial small subunit ribosomal RNA", at positions 524 to 776 of the family's 1533-position model. The record is from RNAcentral.
UACGUAGGGUGCAAGCGUUGUCCGGAAUUAUUGGGCGUAAAGAGCUCGUAGGCGGUCUGUCGCGUCGGCUGUGAAAACCCGGGGCUCAACCCCAAGCCUGCGGUCGAUACGGGCAGGCUCGAGUUCGGUAGGGGAGACUGGAAUUCCUGGUGUAGCGGUGAAAUGCGCAGAUAUCAGGAGGAACACCGGUGGCGAAGGCGGGUCUCUGGGCCGAUACUGACGCUGAGGAGCGAAAGCGUGGGGAGCGAACAGG